GUCGAACGGAAAGGCCCUGCUUGCAGGGUACUCGAGUGGCGAACGGGUGAGUAACACGUGGGUGAUCUGCCCUGCACUUCGGGAUAAGCUUGGGAAACUGGGUCUAAUACCGGAUAGGACCGCACUUUAGUGUGUGUGGUGGAAAGUUUUUUCGGUGUAGGAUGAGCUCGCGGCCUAUCAGCUUGUUGGUGGGGUAAUGGCCUACCAAGGCGGCGACGGGUAGCCGGCCUGAGAGGGUGUACGGCCACAUUGGGACUGAGAUACGGCCCAGACUCCUACGGGAGGCAGCAGUGGGGAAUAUUGCACAAUGGGCGCAAGCCUGAUGCAGCGACGGCCGCGUGGGGGAUGAAGGCCUUCGGGUUGUAAACUCCUUUCGCUAGGGACGAAGCUUUUUGUGACGGUACCUAGAUAAGAAGCACCGGCUAACUACGUGCCAGCAGCCGCGGUAAUACGUAGGGUGCGAGCGUUGUCCGGAAUUACUGGGCGUAAAGGGCUCGUAGGUGGUUUGUCGCGUCGUCUGUGAAAUUCUGGGGCUUAACUCCGGGCGUGCAGGCGAUACGGGCAUAACUUGAGUGCUGUAGGGGUAACUGGAAUUCCUGGUGUAGCCGUGAAAUGCGCAGAUAUCAGGAGGAACACCGAUGGCG
RNAcentral lists this ribosomal RNA (644 nucleotides) under uncultured Actinomycetales bacterium. RNAcentral's name for it is "bacterial SSU rRNA". It matches the Rfam family "Bacterial small subunit ribosomal RNA", at positions 61 to 717 of the family's 1533-position model. Lineage: Bacteria; Bacillati; Actinomycetota; Actinomycetes; Actinomycetales. The record is from RNAcentral.